This is a long non-coding RNA of Gorilla gorilla gorilla (western lowland gorilla), 269 nucleotides long. RefSeq lists it as uncharacterized. The transcript is spliced from 3 exons. NCBI's taxonomy places the organism in Eukaryota, Metazoa, Chordata, Mammalia, Primates, Hominidae. The record is from RefSeq and is a predicted model, not a curated record.
UGUGCCCCUACCCCAAAGAGACCUCACCAUGAGCCCCUACCCCACAGAGACCUCGCCAUGAAGAGGUGAAGGAGUAGGAUUUCCUUUGAAGGAUCUUGAAGUCCUUGACAGAUGAGAAGAAUAUUGAAGCUGCCUAAGAAGGUCACAGCUGGAAGGCCUGAGCAGCUUUGCUGAGGGGUAGUGGGCCCUGCUGAACAAGACGGCAGUUAACUAUGGCUAACUGAAAACAAGAAAAGUGAAACCACAGGGGGAUGACCACACAUGAGUGA